AAGAACUCAUGCAUAUUAUUUAUGAUCUUUAUUGUGUGAUCUUUUUUGUUGUUUGGAAUAGUGUGCGCCUGUUCUGAAUGAACAAAUUGGUUUUUGAAUUGUUAUCAUUGUAAGGAUUUUGCUUGGUUUGAUGGGCAAAAUAACUCCUCUAAUGACAUGUUGUGUUUUCUGUGUUUUUGCAAUCUUGAACCACUUUGCUAGUUUUCAACUUUUAUAGCCUUAGCCUUUCAUCUUUCAUGUGGUAAAAGUGCUGCAAAAAUAGCACUUCCCUCCCCUAACUACUGUCUUUGCCAUUGAAUUGUAUUAUUAAUUGAUGCAGUGAAUAGUUAAGGCAUUU
This 337-nucleotide unclassified non-coding RNA is filed under the name Hevea brasiliensis (rubber tree). Lineage: Eukaryota; Viridiplantae; Streptophyta; Magnoliopsida; Malpighiales; Euphorbiaceae. The record is from RNAcentral.